CAACCCUCAAGCUCUGCUUGGUAUUGGGCCCCGUCUAUUGCUGACGGGCCUUAAAAUCAGUGGCGGUGCCAUUAGGCUCUAAGCGUAGUAAUUUCUCUCGCUAUGGACGUCUACUGGAUACUUGCCAGUAACCCCAAUUUUUAAA
This 145-nucleotide unclassified non-coding RNA is filed under the name uncultured Helotiales. Its description in RNAcentral is "sequence contains ITS2". Lineage: Eukaryota; Fungi; Ascomycota; Leotiomycetes; Helotiales. The record is from RNAcentral.